Molecule: non-coding RNA, 62 nt
Filed under: unclassified sequences
Description: S4-Fusobacteriales ribosomal protein leader
Rfam family: S4-Fusobacteriales ribosomal protein leader
Source: RNAcentral
CUGUAAAGAUAUGGUGGCUGUAGAGUCAUCCCCAUAAUCUGGAAAUGGGCCAUAUCGAGGAA